AUAUCUGUUAAAACCAGAUCAUUUUGAACUAAAACGCUAGCAAUUAAAAUCUUAUAAUUACCAAUAUUAAUUAAUACUACAACUAAAACAUUUUUAAACCCAAGUAUCUGUGAUAGAACGGAAUCAAUAUAGCAAUAGAAAAAGUACCGCAAGGAAAAGCUGAAAAAGAAAUUAAAAAACCCAUUAAAGUACAAAAUAGCAGGAACUAACUUCCGUACCUUUUGCAUCAUGAUCUAGUUAGUCAACCGGAGCAUAAAGAAUUUAAAGUUUCCCCCCCCGAAACUAGACGAGCUAUUUUAUAGCAGCUAAUCGAGCUAAUCCGUCUCUGUAGCAAAAGAGUGGAAAGACUAUUAAAUAGAGGUGACAUGCCUAUCGAGCCUAGUAAUAGCUGGUUGCUUAAUAAAUGAGUAUAAGCUCUACCUUAAAUCUUAUUAUAAUAAAAACAAUAAUAAUAAAAACUUAAGAGCCAUUCAUAAGAGGUACAGCCCUUAUGAAAAAGGAAACAACCUACAACCAUGGGUAAUGAUUAUAUACAACAAGAUCUUAUUUAACCUAGUGGACUUAAAAGCAGCCAUCUACUACGAAAGCGUCAUAGCUCUAUAUUUAAGCCUUAUUAAAUCAAUAACCCCAAUAAUUUUAUCAAAACCCAUAAAACUUCUUAAGCCUACCAAAUAUUUUUAUAAUCGCGAUAAUGCUAGAACUAGUAAUAAGAAAACAUAAUUUUCUCUUCCGCUUCAGUGUAAACUAGAUUAGACAUCCUACUAGUAAUUAACAAAUAAAUUUAACAUAAUAAACUAGACUAUAAUUAAAAUUUA
RNAcentral lists this ribosomal RNA (815 nucleotides) under Gymnophonia sp. SDB-2011c. RNAcentral's name for it is "partial 16S ribosomal RNA". The stretch from base 276 to 392 matches the Rfam family "Bacterial large subunit ribosomal RNA", at positions 714 to 852 of the family's 2925-position model. Lineage: Eukaryota; Metazoa; Chordata; Amphibia; Gymnophiona. The record is from RNAcentral.